UACGAAGGGAGCUAGCGUUGUUCGGAAUCACUGGGCGUAAAGCGCACGUAGGCGGAUGUGUCAGUCAGGGGUGAAAUCCCGGAGCUCAACUUCGGAACUGCCUUUGAUACAGCACAUCUGGAGUCCGGAAGAGGUGGGUGGAAUUCCUAGUGUAGAGGUGAAAUGCGCAGAUAUCGGGAAGAACACCCGUGGCGAAGGCGGUUCUCUGGGACGGUACUGACGCUGAGACGCGAAAGCGUGGGGAGCGAACAGG
RNAcentral lists this ribosomal RNA (253 nucleotides) under uncultured bacterium. Its description in RNAcentral is "partial 16S ribosomal RNA". It matches the Rfam family "Bacterial small subunit ribosomal RNA", at positions 524 to 776 of the family's 1533-position model. The record is from RNAcentral.